UACGAAGGGGGCAAGCGUUGUUCGGAAUUACUGGGCGUAAAGGGCGCGUAGGCGGCUUAUCAAGUCAGGCGUGAAAUCCCCGGGCUCAACCCGGGAACUGCGUCCGAUACUGGAAGGCUUGAAUCCGGGAGAGGGAUGCGGAAUUCCAGGUGUAGCGGUGAAAUGCGUAGAUAUCUGGAGGAACACCGGUGGCGAAGGCGGCAUCCUGGACCGGCAUUGACGCUGAGGCGCGAAAGCCAGGGGAGCAAACGGG
This 253-nucleotide ribosomal RNA is filed under the name uncultured bacterium. RNAcentral's name for it is "partial 16S ribosomal RNA". It matches the Rfam family "Bacterial small subunit ribosomal RNA", at positions 524 to 776 of the family's 1533-position model. The record is from RNAcentral.